ACUCGAGAGACGAGUACACUGAGCUUGCAAAUAAGCCCAGACGGACUAAACGACGGUACAUUAAAUAAUUUUCAAAAACAGCUUCGCACCGUUCGCUUUAUUAACGUAACGCAAAGUUUCCUCGUGUCAACGAUGCUUUUUCGCUCUGUUAAGCCGAACGCGACUAAAACGAGCCCACGGAAACAAAGAUAAAUUAUUUUUCAACAGAGAUUUUUUCCCGAGAAAACUUUGCCGCGAGUGUUCUCGAGACACGAGAGGGCUUUCCUCGGAUCAUCGUUGAGAAUACGUAGUGUUGCUUGUAGGCGGUGCAGCACGUGCUUCGUAUGCGAAUAUAUUUAGAUGCACAUGUGCGUACAGUGCCGUCUGAAAGUGUUAAACGAAGGAGAGACAACCAUGCGUGUACACUCGGGAUCAAAUCGAAGAGGAUUUAACCCUUUCAAUACGGCGAAAAAUUCAGUUCGAGUUCCCAUUACCGGGAACAGUUAUUUCUCCUCCAGAUUUAAAUGAUACGAUUGAUCUACUAAUCAUGGUAACAGGGAACACAGGAAAGAUGGAAAGACAUCCGGUAUCAAAAGUGCUGAAAAUCGACGUGGGCGCCGAUUCGUGGGCGCCUCGGGUUAUAGUUCGCUCCUUGUAUAGAAACGUGGAUAGAAAAGGCGACGCGGUUCCCCAGCCGAACAAGAUUGCACAUAGGCACGUAUAAGCUUUUCCCGCGAAAAUCAAAGAGGACGCGUUCACGUGGUGUGGAGGUAUGAAAGAAAGAGGAGUUUGCAGGAGGAAAGUGUGACACACAGAAGCUUUUUGUUUCUUCUUUUGAAAAUGUAAAAGGUAGUUACGUUAUCUAAUUAAGGAAGGAUUAGUAUUUUGAAAAAAGGGUGGCCUUACAGCUCCCUCAGGGAGGCGAGCUCCGA
This is a long non-coding RNA of Osmia bicornis bicornis, 911 nucleotides long. RefSeq lists it as uncharacterized. The record is from RefSeq and is a predicted model, not a curated record. The transcript has 3 exons. NCBI's taxonomy places the organism in Eukaryota, Metazoa, Arthropoda, Insecta, Hymenoptera, Megachilidae.